Molecule: long non-coding RNA, 334 nt
Organism: Hypanus sabinus (Atlantic stingray)
Lineage: Eukaryota; Metazoa; Chordata; Chondrichthyes; Myliobatiformes; Dasyatidae
Exons: 3
Source: RefSeq, a predicted model, not a curated record
GGAAAAACGUGCAGCAGCCCUCUCUCGUCUGAUCAGAUGCACAAGGCCGGAACAAACUCACUAAAGCCAUCAGUCAGGGCUCUGAACCUUCAAGGUUCCUAGGCUGUGAUAAUUUCAGCUCACAGGACUGAGAUAGCUGGUUGAAGGUGAAGAGAAGGAUAAUGAGAUUUGGCCGAUGACAUCUCUGGGAAUACCACUUUCUGACUCAUUGGAUAACAAACCAACCAACGCUGAGGUGGUCAGACUGCUAACGCGCUUCCAUGUGCGCGAGCUUCACGGCAAUUUGCCCUUCCGUGUGAUGAAUCAAGACUGACGUAAUCACCUACUCCGGCAG